GUCCUGGCCGUAAACGAUGGGUACUAGGUGUAGGAGGUAUCGACCCCUUCUGUGCCGGAGUUAACGCAAUAAGUACCCCGCCUGGGGAGUACGACCGCAAGGUUGAAACUCAAAGGAAUUGACGGGGCCCGCACAAGCGGUGGAGUAUGUGGUUUAAUUCGACGCAACGCGAAGAACCUUACCAGGUCUUGACAUUGAUGGACAGAACCAGAGAUGGUUCCUCUUCUUCGGAAGCCAGAAAACAGGUGGUGCACGGUUGUCGU
RNAcentral lists this ribosomal RNA (263 nucleotides) under uncultured bacterium. RNAcentral describes it as "partial 16S ribosomal RNA". It matches the Rfam family "Bacterial small subunit ribosomal RNA", at positions 793 to 1055 of the family's 1533-position model. The record is from RNAcentral.